UUAACCCAUAUAAAUAGGUAAUCGGCGUAAAGAGUGUUUAAGAUAUUUAUAUAAUGAAAUUAAAAAAUAAUUUAGAUGUAAAAAGCUUAAAUUAUAUAUUAAAAUCAACUACAAAAGUGUUUUCAUAAAAUCUUAAUACACGUGAGCUAAGACCCAAACUAGGAUUAGAUACCCUACUAUGCUUAGCCCUAAACCUAGAUAGUUACUUAACAAAACUAUACGCCAGAGAACUACGAGCCACAGCUUAAAACUCAAAGGACUUGGCGGUGCUUUAUACCCCCUAGAGGAGCCUGUUCUAUAAUCGAUAAACCCCGCUCAACCUUACCAAUCUUUGCUAAUUCAGCCUUUAUACCGCCAUCUUCAGCAAACCCUAAAAAGGAAAAAAAGUAAGCACAAUAAUCUUCAACAUAAAAAAGUUAGGUCAAGGUGCAGCCUAUAGAUUGGAAUGAAAUGGGCUACAUUCUUUUUUAAAAAGCAUAACGGAAAUUUUCAUGAAACUGAAAAUUGAAGGAGGAUUUAGUAGUAAAUUAAGAGUAGAGUGCUUAAUUGAACUCGGCAAUGAAGCAUGCACACACCGCCCGUCACCCUCUUCAA
Molecule: ribosomal RNA, 594 nt
Filed under: Hemiechinus auritus (long-eared hedgehog)
Lineage: Eukaryota; Metazoa; Chordata; Mammalia; Eulipotyphla; Erinaceidae
Description: partial 12S ribosomal RNA
Rfam family: Bacterial small subunit ribosomal RNA
Source: RNAcentral